Molecule: long non-coding RNA, 741 nt
Organism: Hydra vulgaris (swiftwater hydra)
Lineage: Eukaryota; Metazoa; Cnidaria; Hydrozoa; Anthoathecata; Hydridae
Source: RefSeq, a predicted model, not a curated record
AUGAGUUAAAAUAAUAUUUGCAACUUACUAAUAGACAUAAACCAAGUUUACCAUUUUUAUUUUUUGAAUUAUCAAGACUCAUACUUACGGCUAUAAGUCUUUACUUUUCACACAAAUAAUCACAGGUGAUUUGGUUAAUGUAAAUUAAAUAAUAAAAAUGGCGACACUUGAAAUACCAAUAAAAAUGCUAAAAAAAUCUAAGAAAAGAAAGAGUAAGGAAAGAUUGCGUGAAAGUAUAAAAAAAGAUUAGCAUCGCAUAAAACAGGGCUUGAAUGUAACUUAAAUGCUUAUAGAAGAAGAAAAAAAAAAUGUUAUUAAGAUAUUUUAACGCUCUAUCCAGCAAGAAUGCUCAAGAUUCGUAUCUUGCAAGUUUAAUAACUUUAAAUAACGUUUCAAAAAGAAGACCACGAAGCAUUAAUUUAAAAGAUUAUAAUAGCAGCUACAAAUAUAAAUUUUUAAUUACAAAUCACGAGAUACUCACGAGUUCGUUUAUUUAUGUUUGCUUUUCUGCGUUUAUUUCAAUCUUUGGCAUAAAGAAUGGAAGAUUAGAGACCAUUAAAAGAAGCCUUUUAACUAAAGGUCACUCUCCCCGUGAUAGAAGAGGUAAACACAAGAAUCAGUAUAACAAUUUUACUCCUUAACUAAAAAAUAAAAUAUGUGAUCACAGUUCUUCUUUCAGAGGUAGAUACCAAGAUCUAUUAAUUAUAACCAAGAUGAAUGACUUGUUUAAAAUCAAGUAUG